CCUACGGGAGGCAGCAGUGGGGGAUAUUGCACAAUGGGGGAAACCCUGAUGCAGCGACGCCGCGUGGGUGAAGAAGCGCCUCGGCGCGUAAAGCCCUGUCAGCAGGGAAGAAAAUGACGGUACCUGAAGAAGCAGCCCCGGCUAACUACGUGCCAGCAGCCGCGGUAAUACGUAGGGGGCAAGCGUUCUCCGGAUUUACUGGGUGUAAAGGGGGCGCAGACGGCGCUGCAAGCCAGGAGGGAAAGCCCGGGGCCCAACCCCGGGACUGCUCUGGGAACUGCGUGGCUAGAGUGCAGGAGGGGCAGGCGGAAUUCCUGGUGUAGCGGUGAAAUGCGUAGAUAUCAGGAGGAACACCGGUGGCGAAGGCGGCCUGCUGGACUGCAACUGACGUUGAGGCCCGAAAGCGUGGGGAGCAAACAGGAUUAGAUACCCGUGUAGUC
Molecule: ribosomal RNA, 440 nt
Filed under: uncultured bacterium
Lineage: Bacteria
Description: partial 16S ribosomal RNA
Rfam family: Bacterial small subunit ribosomal RNA
Source: RNAcentral